Molecule: ribosomal RNA, 2921 nt
Filed under: Staphylococcus aureus C1891
Lineage: Bacteria; Bacillati; Bacillota; Bacilli; Caryophanales; Staphylococcaceae
Also listed under: 3 other names
Description: bacterial LSU rRNA
Rfam family: Bacterial large subunit ribosomal RNA
Source: RNAcentral
UUAAGUUAUUAAGGGCGCACGGUGGAUGCCUUGGCACUAGAAGCCGAUGAAGGACGUUACUAACGACGAUAUGCUUUGGGGAGCUGUAAGUAAGCUUUGAUCCAGAGAUUUCCGAAUGGGGAAACCCAGCAUGAGUUAUGUCAUGUUAUCGAUAUGUGAAUACAUAGCAUAUCAGAAGGCACACCCGGAGAACUGAAACAUCUUAGUACCCGGAGGAAGAGAAAGAAAAUUCGAUUCCCUUAGUAGCGGCGAGCGAAACGGGAAGAGCCCAAACCAACAAGCUUGCUUGUUGGGGUUGUAGGACACUCUAUACGGAGUUACAAAGGACGACAUUAGACGAAUCAUCUGGAAAGAUGAAUCAAAGAAGGUAAUAAUCCUGUAGUCGAAAAUGUUGUCUCUCUUGAGUGGAUCCUGAGUACGACGGAGCACGUGAAAUUCCGUUGGAAUCUGGGAGGACCAUCUCCUAAGGCUAAAUACUCUCUAGUGACCGAUAGUGAACCAGUACCGUGAGGGAAAGGUGAAAAGCACCCCGGAAGGGGAGUGAAAUAGAACCUGAAACCGUGUGCUUACAAGUAGUCAGAGCCCGUUAAUGGGUGAUGGCGUGCCUUUUGUAGAAUGAACCGGCGAGUUACGAUUUGAUGCAAGGUUAAGCAGUAAAUGUGGAGCCGUAGCGAAAGCGAGUCUGAAUAGGGCGUUUAGUAUUUGGUCGUAGACCCGAAACCAGGUGAUCUACCCUUGGUCAGGUUGAAGUUCAGGUAACACUGAAUGGAGGACCGAACCGACUUACGUUGAAAAGUGAGCGGAUGAACUGAGGGUAGCGGAGAAAUUCCAAUCGAACCUGGAGAUAGCUGGUUCUCUCCGAAAUAGCUUUAGGGCUAGCCUCAAGUGAUGAUUAUUGGAGGUAGAGCACUGUUUGGACGAGGGGCCCCUCUCGGGUUACCGAAUUCAGACAAACUCCGAAUGCCAAUUAAUUUAACUUGGGAGUCAGAACAUGGGUGAUAAGGUCCGUGUUCGAAAGGGAAACAGCCCAGACCACCAGCUAAGGUCCCAAAAUAUAUGUUAAGUGGAAAAGGAUGUGGCGUUGCCCAGACAACUAGGAUGUUGGCUUAGAAGCAGCCAUCAUUUAAAGAGUGCGUAAUAGCUCACUAGUCGAGUGACACUGCGCCGAAAAUGUACCGGGGCUAAACAUAUUACCGAAGCUGUGGAUUGUCCUUUGGACAAUGGUAGGAGAGCGUUCUAAGGGCGUUGAAGCAUGAUCGUAAGGACAUGUGGAGCGCUUAGAAGUGAGAAUGCCGGUGUGAGUAGCGAAAGACGGGUGAGAAUCCCGUCCACCGAUUGACUAAGGUUUCCAGAGGAAGGCUCGUCCGCUCUGGGUUAGUCGGGUCCUAAGCUGAGGCCGACAGGCGUAGGCGAUGGAUAACAGGUUGAUAUUCCUGUACCACCUAUAAUCGUUUUAAUCGAUGGGGGGACGCAGUAGGAUAGGCGAAGCGUGCGAUUGGAUUGCACGUCUAAGCAGUAAGGCUGAGUAUUAGGCAAAUCCGGUACUCGUUAAGGCUGAGCUGUGAUGGGGAGAAGACAUUGUGUCUUCGAGUCGUUGAUUUCACACUGCCGAGAAAAGCCUCUAGAUAGAAAAUAGGUGCCCGUACCGCAAACCGACACAGGUAGUCAAGAUGAGAAUUCUAAGGUGAGCGAGCGAACUCUCGUUAAGGAACUCGGCAAAAUGACCCCGUAACUUCGGGAGAAGGGGUGCUCUUUAGGGUUAACGCCCAGAAGAGCCGCAGUGAAUAGGCCCAAGCGACUGUUUAUCAAAAACACAGGUCUCUGCUAAACCGUAAGGUGAUGUAUAGGGGCUGACGCCUGCCCGGUGCUGGAAGGUUAAGAGGAGUGGUUAGCUUCUGCGAAGCUACGAAUCGAAGCCCCAGUAAACGGCGGCCGUAACUAUAACGGUCCUAAGGUAGCGAAAUUCCUUGUCGGGUAAGUUCCGACCCGCACGAAAGGCGUAACGAUUUGGGCACUGUCUCAACGAGAGACUCGGUGAAAUCAUAGUACCUGUGAAGAUGCAGGUUACCCGCGACAGGACGGAAAGACCCCGUGGAGCUUUACUGUAGCCUGAUAUUGAAAUUCGGCACAGCUUGUACAGGAUAGGUAGGAGCCUUUGAAACGUGAGCGCUAGCUUACGUGGAGGCGCUGGUGGGAUACUACCCUAGCUGUGUUGGCUUUCUAACCCGCACCACUUAUCGUGGUGGGAGACAGUGUCAGGCGGGCAGUUUGACUGGGGCGGUCGCCUCCUAAAAGGUAACGGAGGCGCUCAAAGGUUCCCUCAGAAUGGUUGGAAAUCAUUCAUAGAGUGUAAAGGCAUAAGGGAGCUUGACUGCGAGACCUACAAGUCGAGCAGGGUCGAAAGACGGACUUAGUGAUCCGGUGGUUCCGUAUGGAAGGGCCAUCGCUCAACGGAUAAAAGCUACCCCGGGGAUAACAGGCUUAUCUCCCCCAAGAGUUCACAUCGACGGGGAGGUUUGGCACCUCGAUGUCGGCUCAUCGCAUCCUGGGGCUGUAGUCGGUCCCAAGGGUUGGGCUGUUCGCCCAUUAAAGCGGUACGCGAGCUGGGUUCAGAACGUCGUGAGACAGUUCGGUCCCUAUCCGUCGUGGGCGUAGGAAAUUUGAGAGGAGCUGUCCUUAGUACGAGAGGACCGGGAUGGACAUACCUCUGGUGUACCAGUUGUCGUGCCAACGGCAUAGCUGGGUAGCUAUGUGUGGACGGGAUAAGUGCUGAAAGCAUCUAAGCAUGAAGCCCCCCUCAAGAUGAGAUUUCCCAACUUCGGUUAUAAGAUCCCUCAAAGAUGAUGAGGUUAAUAGGUUCGAGGUGGAAGCAUGGUGACAUGUGGAGCUGACGAAUACUAAUCGAUCGAAGACUUAAUCAA